GGUUAAGCGACUAAGCGUACACGGUGGAUGCCCUGGCAGUCAGAGGCGAUGAAGGGCGUGCUAAUCUGCGAUAAGCGCCGGUAAGGUGAUAUGAACCGUUAUAACCGGCGAUACCCGAAUGGGGAAACCCAGUGUGAUUCGUCACACUAUCAUUAACUGAAUCCAUAGGUUAAUGAGGCGAACCGGGGGAACUGAAACAUCUAAGUACCCCGAGGAAAAGAAAUCAACCGAGAUUCCCCCAGUAGCGGCGAGCGAACGGGGAGGAGCCCAGAGCCUGAAUCAGCAUGUGUGUUAGUGGAAGCGUCUGGAAAGGCGCGCGAUACAGGGUGACAGCCCCGUACACAAAAGCGCAUGUGCUGUGAGCUCGAUGAGUAGGGCGGGACACGUGGUAUCCUGUCUGAAUAUGGGGGACCAUCCUCCAAGGCUAAAUACUCCUGACUGACCGAUAGUGAACCAGUACCGUGAGGGAAAGGCGAAAAGAACCCCGGCGAGGGGAGUGAAAAAGAACCUGAAACCGUGUACGUACAAGCAGUGGGAGCACAGGUUUACCUGUGUGACUGCGUACCUUUUGUAUAAUGGGUCAGCGACUUAUAUUCUGUAGCAAGGUUAACCGAAUAGGGGAGCCGGAGGGAAACCGAGUCUUAAUUGGGCGUUAAGUUGCAGGGUAUAGACCCGAAACCCGGUGAUCUAGCCAUGGGCAGGUUGAAGGUUGGGUAACACUAACUGGAGGACCGAACCGACUAAUGUUGAAAAAUUAGCGGAUGACCUGUGGCUGGGGGUGAAAGGCCAAUCAAACCGGGAGAUAGCUGGUUCUCCCCGAAAGCUAUUUAGGUAGCGCCUCGUGAAUUCAUCUCCGGGGGUAGAGCACUGUUUCGGCUAGGGGGCCAUCCCGGCUUACCAACCCGAUGCAAACUGCGAAUACCGGAGAAUGUUAUCACGGGAGACACACGGCGGGUGCUAACGUCCGUCGUGAAGAGGGAAACAACCCAGACCGCCAGCUAAGGUCCCAAAGUCAUGGUUAAGUGGGAAACGAUGUGGGAAGGCCCAGACAGCCAGGAUGUUGGCUUAGAAGCAGCCAUCAUUUAAAGAAAGCGUAAUAGCUCACUGGUCGAGUCGGCCUGCGCGGAAGAUGUAACGGGGCUAAACCAUGCACCGAAGCUGCGGCAGCGACACUGUGUGUUGUUGGGUAGGGGAGCGUUCUGUAAGCCUGUGAAGGUGUGUCGUGAGGCAUGCUGGAGGUAUCAGAAGUGCGAAUGCUGACAUAAGUAACGAUAAAGCGGGUGAAAAGCCCGCUCGCCGGAAGACCAAGGGUUCCUGUCCAACGUUAAUCGGGGCAGGGUGAGUCGACCCCUAAGGCGAGGCCGAAAGGCGUAGUCGAUGGGAAACGGGUUAAUAUUCCCGUACUUGGUGUUACUGCGAAGGGGGGACGGAGAAGGCUAUGUUGGCCGGGCGACGGUUGUCCCGGUUUAAGCGUGUAGGUGUGUGUUCCAGGUAAAUCCGGUUCACUUUAACACUGAGGCGUGACGACGAGGCACUACGGUGCUGAAGCAACAAAUGCCCUGCUUCCAGGAAAAGCCUCUAAGCAUCAGGUAACAUCAAAUCGUACCCCAAACCGACACAGGUGGUCAGGUAGAGAAUACCAAGGCGCUUGAGAGAACUCGGGUGAAGGAACUAGGCAAAAUGGUGCCGUAACUUCGGGAGAAGGCACGCUGACACGUAGGUGAAGUGAUUUACUCAUGGAGCUGAAGUCAGUCGAAGAUACCAGCUGGCUGCAACUGUUUAUUAAAAACACAGCACUGUGCAAACACGAAAGUGGACGUAUACGGUGUGACGCCUGCCCGGUGCCGGAAGGUUAAUUGAUGGGGUCAGCGCAAGCGAAGCUCCUGAUCGAAGCCCCGGUAAACGGCGGCCGUAACUAUAACGGUCCUAAGGUAGCGAAAUUCCUUGUCGGGUAAGUUCCGACCUGCACGAAUGGCGUAAUGAUGGCCAGGCUGUCUCCACCCGAGACUCAGUGAAAUUGAACUCGCUGUGAAGAUGCAGUGUACCCGCGGCAAGACGGAAAGACCCCGUGAACCUUUACUAUAGCUUGACACUGAACAUUGAGCCUUGAUGUGUAGGAUAGGUGGGAGGCUUUGAAGUGUGGACGCCAGUCUGCAUGGAGCCGACCUUGAAAUACCACCCUUUAAUGUUUGAUGUUCUAACGUGGACCCGUUACCCGGGUUGCGGACAGUGUCUGGUGGGUAGUUUGACUGGGGCGGUCUCCUCCUAAAGAGUAACGGAGGAGCACGAAGGUUGGCUAAUCCUGGUCGGACAUCAGGAGGUUAGUGCAAUGGCAUAAGCCAGCUUGACUGCGAGCGUGACGGCGCGAGCAGGUGCGAAAGCAGGUCAUAGUGAUCCGGUGGUUCUGAAUGGAAGGGCCAUCGCUCAACGGAUAAAAGGUACUCCGGGGAUAACAGGCUGAUACCGCCCAAGAGUUCAUAUCGACGGCGGUGUUUGGCACCUCGAUGUCGGCUCAUCACAUCCUGGGGCUGAAGUAGGUCCCAAGGGUAUGGCUGUUCGCCAUUUAAAGUGGUACGCGAGCUGGGUUUAGAACGUCGUGAGACAGUUCGGUCCCUAUCUGCCGUGGGCGCUGGAGAACUGAGGGGGGCUGCUCCUAGUACGAGAGGACCGGAGUGGACGCAUCACUGGUGUUCGGGUUGUCAUGCCAAUGGCACUGCCCGGUAGCUAAAUGCGGAAGAGAUAAGUGCUGAAAGCAUCUAAGCACGAAACUUGCCCCGAGAUGAGUUCUCCCUGAGACUUAGAGUCUCCUGAAGGAACGUUGAAGACGACGACGUUGAUAGGCCGGGUGUGUAAGCGCAGCGAUGCGUUGAGCUAACCGGUACUAAUGAACCGUGAGGCUUAACCUU
Molecule: ribosomal RNA, 2906 nt
Filed under: Salmonella enterica subsp. enterica serovar Enteritidis
Lineage: Bacteria; Pseudomonadati; Pseudomonadota; Gammaproteobacteria; Enterobacterales; Enterobacteriaceae
Description: bacterial LSU rRNA
Rfam family: Bacterial large subunit ribosomal RNA
Source: RNAcentral